Molecule: non-coding RNA, 447 nt
Organism: Paramuricea clavata
Lineage: Eukaryota; Metazoa; Cnidaria; Anthozoa; Malacalcyonacea; Plexauridae
Source: the annotation of a GenBank genome assembly
CCGGUUUUGCAAGUUCUCAAACGGCAACGUCAGCAUGGAAGAGAGAUUUGUAUCGCGUGCCACCAGAGGUUCUCUUCGCCUCGCGUAAAAUAAAUACGAGCGGGAAUAAGGCGAAAGAUACAGAACCUCUGGCAACCAGGGUAAUGAUCAUAUUGCUUUAAAGAAACUUGCAGCUUUUAGCAGUUGUGUAAGGGCCUGUUUAUAUCGAAACUGGCUGGCCCGCUAAGUGAGACAGCCCGGUAAGUGAGAUCUCGCUGUCUAGUUAUUUUUAUAGUACAAAUUAUCAUUUCUAUGGACAAGCGGGCAGGCCCGGUUGCCAAGACCAGGAUGGAAAUUUCUCCACAUAAACAAUCAUAAGCAGGCUAGCCCGGUGCCGGGAUGAAAGUUCAAAGAUACUGCCGCAAGCUAUUUUUAACAACUGUCAAAAUAAUGUCAAAACAACAAAAU